GGGCGUCUCUUUCUCGUUACGAGUGGAGGCGCACCUGUAGCGCACACGCUGAUACCCGAAAGAUGGUGAACUAUGCCUGGCCAGGACGAAGCCAGGGGAAACCCUGGUGGAGGUCCGCAGCGAUUCUGACGUGCAAAUCGAUCGUCGGAGCUGGGUAUAGGGGCGAAAGACCAAUCGAACCAUCUAGUAGCUGGUUCCCUCUGAAGUUUCCCUCAGGAUAGCUUGCGCUCGGUUGAGACGAGUCUCAUCCGGUAGAGCGAAUGAUUAGAGGCCUUGGGGUCGAAACGACCUCAACCUAUUCUCAAACUCCAAAUAGAUGAGAUCCCCGGCUUGCUUGAAAGUGAAGCCGCGGGAAUCGGAUCAGAGUGCAAAGUGGGCCAAUUUU
RNAcentral lists this ribosomal RNA (385 nucleotides) under Cimex hemipterus. RNAcentral describes it as "eukaryotic LSU rRNA". It matches the Rfam family "Eukaryotic large subunit ribosomal RNA", at positions 763 to 1138 of the family's 3401-position model. The record is from RNAcentral. Lineage: Eukaryota; Metazoa; Arthropoda; Insecta; Hemiptera; Cimicidae. RNAcentral also lists the same sequence under 1 other name.